RNAcentral lists this ribosomal RNA (254 nucleotides) under uncultured bacterium. RNAcentral describes it as "partial 16S ribosomal RNA". It matches the Rfam family "Bacterial small subunit ribosomal RNA", at positions 524 to 776 of the family's 1533-position model. The record is from RNAcentral.
UACGUAGGGGCCUAGCGUUGUCCGGAUUUAUUGGGCGUAAAGAGCGCGUAGGCGGUUCGGUAAGUCAGGGGUGAAAUCUCCACGCUCAACGUGUAGGCGCCACCUGAAACUGCCGUGACUCGAGUCCGGUAGGGGAGUGUGGAAUUCCCGGUGUAGCGGUGAAAUGCGCAGAUAUCGGGAGGAACACCAGUGGCGAAGGCGGCACUCUGGGCCGGUACUGACGCUGAGGAGCGAAAGCGUGGGGAGCGAACAGG